UACGUAGGGACCGAGCGUUGUCCGGAAUCAUUGGGCGUAAAGAGCGUGUAGGCGGCUCGCUAAGUCUUGCGUGAAAUCUCGGGGCUCAACCCCGAGCGGUCGUGAGAAACUGGCGGGCUAGAGUGCGGGAGAGGAGAGUGGAAUUCCUGGUGUAGCGGUGGAAUGCGCAGAUAUCAGGAAGAACACCAACGGCGAAGGCAGCUCGCUGGGACGGAACUGACGCUAAGGCGCGAAAGCGUGGGGAGCGAACAGG
RNAcentral lists this ribosomal RNA (253 nucleotides) under uncultured bacterium. RNAcentral describes it as "partial 16S ribosomal RNA". It matches the Rfam family "Bacterial small subunit ribosomal RNA", at positions 524 to 776 of the family's 1533-position model. The record is from RNAcentral.